This 484-nucleotide ribosomal RNA is filed under the name uncultured bacterium. RNAcentral's name for it is "partial 16S ribosomal RNA". It matches the Rfam family "Bacterial small subunit ribosomal RNA", at positions 30 to 507 of the family's 1533-position model. The record is from RNAcentral.
AUUGAACGCUGGCGGCAGGCCUAACACAUGCAAGUCGAACGGAAGAAGGGCGCUUGCUCCUGGAUUCCGCGGCGGACGGGGGAGUAAUGCCCAGGAAUCUGCCUGGUUGUGGGGGGUAACGUGCGGAAACGGGCGCUAAUACCACAUACGUCCUGCGGGAGAUGGAUGGGGUGCUUCGGAGCUCUCGGUAUCGGGUUAGCCUAGGUCGCUUUAGCUAGGUGGUGGGGUAAAGGGCUACCAAGGGGACGAUCCGUAACUGGUCUGAGAGGAUGAUCAGUCACACGGGAACUGAGACGCGGACCAGACUCCUACGGGAGGCAGCAGUCGGGAAUAUUGGGCAAUGGGCGAGAGCCUGGUCCAGCCAUGCCGCGUGUGUGAAAAAGGUCUUCGGAGUGGAAAGCACGUUUAGUUGGGAUGAAGGGCAGUAGGUUAAUACCUUGCGGUAUUGACGUUACCAACAGAAGAAGCACCGGCUAACUUCGUG